RNAcentral lists this ribosomal RNA (465 nucleotides) under uncultured Klebsiella sp. RNAcentral describes it as "bacterial SSU rRNA". It matches the Rfam family "Bacterial small subunit ribosomal RNA", at positions 338 to 795 of the family's 1533-position model. Lineage: Bacteria; Pseudomonadati; Pseudomonadota; Gammaproteobacteria; Enterobacterales; Enterobacteriaceae. The record is from RNAcentral.
CCUACGGGGGGCAGCAGUGGGGAAUAUUGCACAAUGGGCGCAAGCCUGAUGCAGCCAUGCCGCGUGUGUGAAGAAGGCCUUCGGGUUGUAAAGCACUUUCAGCGGGGAGGAAGGCGUUAAGGUUAAUAACCUUGGCGAUUGACGUUACCCGCAGAAGAAGCACCGGCUAACUCCGUGCCAGCAGCCGCGGUAAUACGGAGGGUGCAAGCGUUAAUCGGAAUUACUGGGCGUAAAGCGCACGCAGGCGGUCUGUCAAGUCGGAUGUGAAAUCCCCGGGGUCAACCUGGGAACUGCAUUCGAAACUGGCAGGCUAGAGUCUUGUAGAGGGGGGUAGAAUUCCAGGUGUAGCGGUGAAAUGCGUAGAGAUCUGGAGGAAUACCGGUGGCGAAGGCGGCCCCCUGGACAAAGACUGACGCUCAGGUGCGAAAGCGUGGGGAGCAAACAGGAUUAGAUACCCCGGUAGUC